RNAcentral lists this ribosomal RNA (253 nucleotides) under uncultured bacterium. RNAcentral's name for it is "partial 16S ribosomal RNA". It matches the Rfam family "Bacterial small subunit ribosomal RNA", at positions 524 to 776 of the family's 1533-position model. The record is from RNAcentral.
UACGUAGGGUGCAAGCGUUGUCCGGAAUUAUUGGGCGUAAAGAGCUCGUAGGCGGUCUGUCACGUCGGCUGUGAAAACCCGAGGCUCAACCUCGGGCCUGCAGUCGAUACGGGCAAACUAGAGUACUGCAGGGGAGACUGGAAUUCCUGGUGUAGCGGUGAAAUGCGCAGAUAUCGGGAGGAACACCUAUGGCGAAGGCAGCUCGCUGGGACGUUACUGACGCUGAGACGCGAAAGCGUGGGGAGCAAACAGG